Long non-coding RNA from Daphnia pulicaria, 1387 nucleotides. RefSeq lists it as uncharacterized. The transcript is spliced from 8 exons. NCBI's taxonomy places the organism in Eukaryota, Metazoa, Arthropoda, Branchiopoda, Diplostraca, Daphniidae. The record is from RefSeq and is a predicted model, not a curated record.
GGUUAGAACCUGGAGUCGAGAAAAGUCUUGUUCGCCGCUGUCUUGUAAUUGGCAAAGUUUUGAUUAUACAAAUGAAUAAUUGUGUCAACUCACCUGUUGUGAUCCACACUGAAGAAAUGGGUUCGUCUCGACUGAGAAUAGCUGGCAACAAUAACUCACUUUGUUUGCGAUUCCCUGAAACUUUUGCCGCACAAAUGUGAACUCCAAUGGAAAGACCUUGGAUUUUACCUGACACAUGUGUUUCUGAUAAGUCUCCCUAUGCAACUUACGGAAACGAGUAUCUGAUGGCGGAAGUUGAGUGUUGUCACCGUUCCAUGUGGACAGACUGGAUACUGGAUCAAUUUUACAUAUUACUGGUGUUGCAGUCACGGGAAUACAUACGCUGGACUGCUGGACUGUUUUGUCUUCUUCACGGGUUAAUACAUUGUGUAAUUCCAAUCCUUCUAGCUGGAAUAGCAGUGAUUGGAAAUUUCCUUCAAAAACUUGGUGGAAAUAACUAGCAAGCAUUUACUUCAAGAAUUGUCCAUGCAUUUCCUUACAAAAACUGAACUAUUUGACUACUGGCCAAUCCAACAACAUCGAUUCCAACCGCCUCAAGGAGACUGUCAAGAUAUAGAGGAUAUGUGGAGCUACAGGCUGCUCUUUUUUUUUAGCAAUUUGCUGUCAGCUGUCAAAAUUAUCGUAGACUCUUGUACUGAGUUAACUCAGUCGUACUCUGGUCGUACUUGUGCCGUCAACUGGACCAAAACGAAAAAAAAUUAAAGUUCGUAUCAUCACCUGUCUACACAAAUUUCCUGGAGGGAUGGAUUCCAGAAUAUUCCAUUGACACAUCAUGAAAAAAACAACUUGUGGAAUCCGUGGGAUCACUCUCAAAAUCAGGGCAUCAAUGAUCAAUCUUCCCAAUGGAAUCAGGCCUGGUGUUUUAAUCGUAAACUUCUACCUGGCGUUUGAUGCGGGCAUUUGCAUCUGCAUUCACCAUAUUACGGUUUUGACUUCUUUGUGCUGGACUACUCUGCACUGUGCAGUUAUCUAGUUGUCUAUCUAAACGGCCAAUACCGGUAUCUCAAAAGUUGACGCAACAAGUGACCGAUAUUCAGAUUUAUCGAACAAAGAAAGAUUGAUGAAUCAUUUAUUAUUAUUAUUAUUAUUUUUUUUAUUUGUAGUGGUAAUUAUCGAUUCAGGAAGUUGACGAUGCGAUGUAGCCCUAAAUCCUUUUCAUGCUUUUUUUCUUCCGCAUUUGAACACAAAGACUCGAGCAAAGAUGGAAAGAAACUCGAUUAGAAAUAGUAAAACUUUGGGUUAGUUAUCCUUAAUACAGACUGGUCCACUGCCGAGUUUCUUUCAAUCCCAAUCCAAACGAAUGUCGUGUCGUUGGCAUGCGUAACCU